GCGAGCUGGAGAGCCCCAGGCGCGCGCACUGGAGGCGGGGUCCCUGGUGGGGAGGUGGUGCUGCAGGGGUUUGUGUGGUGGGAAUUGGCGGUUUCUGGAUCCUUUCUCCAGGAUUUUCAGCGCUGGGGAGCUCUCCUUUCUACAGUGUGGAGGAGCGCUGGGCAGGAGGCAGCGCUGAGCACACGUGUGGAGGACUCCCUAGAAUGGACACCUGCCUCUGAGUGGAUUGCUGGGCCAGAGGCUGACGUGCAUCUGAAACUUGACGAGCUGCAGCCAAAUCAUCCUCUGAAGUUUUAACAAUUUCCAUUCCCGCCAACAGUGUCUGAGUCAUCCUUGCCCUGGGAAUUGUCAGGUCAGCAUUGUCAGAUUUUUAAAGUUUUGCCAAUCUGAUGAGUGAGAAAUGAUGUAUUUGUUUUCCUCUUUGUACAACUGUUUUGACAAAUUCAUAGAGCUGUGCAACUACCAAAAUUGAGAUACAGAACAGUUCCAGCACCCAGAACUCCCUUCAGCUGCUCUUUUGUAGUCAUCUCUUCCCCCACCCUUAACCCCUGGUGACUAAUGAUCUGUUGUCUUUCCCUAUGGUUUGUCUUUUGUAGAAUAUCAUAUAAAUGGAAUCCUACAGUAUUUGGCCUUUUGAGUCUGGAUUCUUUCAUUUAGCACAAUACAUUGAUUUGAGUGUUCA
Molecule: long non-coding RNA, 682 nt
Organism: Diceros bicornis minor
Lineage: Eukaryota; Metazoa; Chordata; Mammalia; Perissodactyla; Rhinocerotidae
Exons: 2
Source: RefSeq, a predicted model, not a curated record